CUCGCUGCCACGUCCGUCCCUACCUCUACCGUCUCCUCCCUCCCUCCAUCCGUGGACUCCUCCACUCCACCGGAGGCCGGAGCCGAGAGCGAUAGAUAGAUACUUUGCUUUCCCCUCCCCUUCCCCCAUCCCUUCCCUCUCUCCCAGGUCUCUUCACCACCACGCCGACGCGGCACCCGGCCGGAGGAGUUCAAGAAAGUCCAAGACCACUCAUCAAGGGCGAUGCCGCCGCGGCGGCCCAACACCGGCGGGGGCGGGGGCACCUCCUCGGCCGCGCCGCCGCCUCCGCCGCGCAAGGUCCCGCUCCGCUCCCUGCUCCGGGCGGCCUCCGUCGCCUGCGGGGUCCAAUUCGGGUGGGCGCUGCAGCUCUCGCUGCUCACCCCCUACGUCCAAGAACUCGGCAUCCCGCACGCCUUCGCCAGCCUGGUCUGGCUCUGCGGCCCGCUGUCGGGCCUCCUGGUGCAGCCGCUGGUGGGCCACCUCUCGGACCGCAUCGCGCCGGCCAACUCCCCGCUGGGCCGUCGCCGGCCCUUCAUCGCCGCGGGCGCCGCCUCCAUCGCCUUCUCCGUGCUCACCGUCGGCUUCUCCGCCGACCUGGGGCGGCUCUUCGGGGACAACAUCGUGCCCGGGUCCACUCGGUUCGGCGCCAUCAUCGUCUACCUCAUCGGCUUCUGGCUGCUGGACGUCGGCAACAACGCCACGCAGGGGCCAUGCCGCGCCUUCCUCGCAGACCUCACAGAGAAUGACCCGAGGAGGACCCGGAUCGCCAACGCCUACUUCUCGCUCUUCAUGGCCCUGGGGAACAUACUCGGGUACGCCACCGGGGCAUACAAUGGCUGGUACAAGAUAUUCCCGUUCACUAUCACCGAGUCCUGCAGCGUCAGCUGCGCCAACCUCAAGUCUGCGUUCCUGCUCGAUAUCAUCAUCCUAGCGAUCACGACAUACGUUAGCGUGGUGACGGUGCAGGACAACCCUACUUUCGGAAGCGACGAGGCGGCGCCUCCGAGCAGCCACGAGGAGGAGGCUUUCCUCUUUGAGCUUUUCGGGUCGUUCAAGUACUUCACGAUGCCUGUUUGGAUGGUCUUGAUCGUCACCUCGCUUACCUGGAUCGGGUGGUUCCCUUUCAUCCUCUUUGAUACCGACUGGAUGGGCCGAGAGAUCUACCGGGGAAGCCCGGAGAUCGUCGCCGACACCCAAAAGUAUCAUGACGGUGUGAGAAUGGGCUCUUUUGGUCUCAUGCUCAACUCGGUCGUUCUCGGGAUCACAUCUAUUGGAAUGGAGAAGUUGUGUAGGAAGUGGGGAGCUGGACUUGUAUGGGGUGUCUCCAAUAUCAUCAUGGCUCUGUGCUUCGUGGCGAUGCUUAUUAUAACAUACGUUGCGCAGAACCUGGAUUAUGGACCUAGUGGAGCACCUCCAACCGGCAUUGUCGCCGCUUCCCUCAUUGUGUUCACAAUCCUAGGAGCACCUCUGUCGGUCACGUACAGUAUACCAUAUGCGAUGGCUGCAAGUCGUGUUGAAAAUCUUGGGCUAGGCCAAGGUCUAGCAAUGGGCAUUCUUAAUUUAUCUAUUGUGAUACCACAGAUCAUCGUGUCGCUGGGCAGCGGGCCGUGGGACCAGCUCUUCGGCGGAGGGAACGCGCCAUCCUUCUGGGUGGCCGCCGCAGCCUCGUUUGUGGGCGGGCUGGUAGCCAUCCUUGGGCUCCCGCGAGCCCGGCUCGGACCGAAGAAGAAAACCACCCAACGAUGAUGAUUCGAGUGAGCGAAGCGAGUAUACAGAGACAUUGUUAUGUUGCAGACAAGGAAGGAAGGCAGGUUGGUCUCAAGUUGCAACCAUUCAUUCUUUGCACACUGGUUCCAAGACACUGGGAACGCUGCCUACACUACACUAGGCAUGGGGGGUCUGUAUAUUGUCAUCAUCAAGUUGGGUUCGGUUCAAAUUCAAGGCCAAAAGUAGGAGGGCUCUGGAAUUUUCCUCCAUGGGCCCUAUCGUCGCCUUUUUUUCGCUUGUCGGUGUGAAACAUGGUCGGUCAUAUGUUGUUGUAUAUCGGAUAUUUUGUCAUUUUGUCGGAGAUUAUCAAUCAAGCAAUAAAAGUUGCAGGGUUUUGUUUGA
This 2109-nucleotide ribosomal RNA is filed under the name Triticum aestivum (bread wheat). RNAcentral describes it as "partial small subunit ribosomal RNA". Lineage: Eukaryota; Viridiplantae; Streptophyta; Magnoliopsida; Poales; Poaceae. The record is from RNAcentral.